RNAcentral lists this ribosomal RNA (301 nucleotides) under uncultured bacterium. RNAcentral describes it as "partial 16S ribosomal RNA". It matches the Rfam family "Bacterial small subunit ribosomal RNA", at positions 509 to 807 of the family's 1533-position model. The record is from RNAcentral.
CAGUAGCCACGGUAAUACGAAGGGUGCAAGCGUUAAUCGGAAUUACUGAGCGUAAAGCGUGCGUAGGCGGUGAGUUAAGUCUGCUGUGAAAUCCCCGGGCUCAACCUGGGAAUGGCAGUGGAUACUGGCUCGCUAGAGUGUGUCAGAGGAUGGUGGAAUUCCCGGUGUAGCAGUGAAAUGCGUAGAGAUCGGAAGGAACAUCUGUGGCGAAGGCGACUAUCUGGGCCAACACUGACACUGAGGCACGAAAGCGUGGGGAGCAAACAGGAUUAGAUACCCCCGUAGUCCCUGUCUCUUAUAC